AUGAGUCCACUAUACCUUCCUAUAUGCGGUAUUUACCUGCCGUUCCAAGUAAAUUUGUAUGUGCCAAACUCCAAACCUUCAAAUGAAAUUCUGUUUUGUAUGCUCGAGCAGCUCAUGUUACAACUAGGGCUGCCUAUAUCUUCCAUGCUAGGUGGGUUAUUCUCAAGAGGAGUGGACUCCGCUCCUCAUUCACGAGAAAGGGCUGGUAACCGGGAUGCCCAGUCCCAUGAUCCAAAAAGAUCAAAGCAAAUCAAAAUAAUUAAACAAAACUCCCCCAGGGCUGUUGUUAGUUGGAGGCACUCGUUGUUUCGAGCAAGCCAUGGAUUGAUUGUUGUUGGUGGUUGGGGAGUAUAA
RNAcentral lists this ribosomal RNA (354 nucleotides) under Triticum aestivum (bread wheat). RNAcentral's name for it is "partial small subunit ribosomal RNA". Lineage: Eukaryota; Viridiplantae; Streptophyta; Magnoliopsida; Poales; Poaceae. The record is from RNAcentral.